RNAcentral lists this ribosomal RNA (673 nucleotides) under uncultured bacterium. RNAcentral's name for it is "bacterial SSU rRNA". It matches the Rfam family "Bacterial small subunit ribosomal RNA", at positions 79 to 748 of the family's 1533-position model. The record is from RNAcentral.
CUUGCUUCUCUUGAGAGCGGCGGACGGGUGAGUAAUGCCUAGGAAUCUGCCUGGUAGUGGGGGAUAACGUUCGGAAACGGACGCUAAUACCGCAUACGUCCUACGGGAGAAAGCAGGGGACCUUCGGGCCUUGCGCUAUCAGAUGAGCCUAGGUCGGAUUAGCUAGUUGGUGGGGUAAUGGCUCACCAAGGCGACGAUCCGUAACUGGUCUGAGAGGAUGAUCAGUCACACUGGAACUGAGACACGGUCCAGACUCCUACGGGAGGCAGCAGUGGGGAAUAUUGGACAAUGGGCGAAAGCCUGAUCCAGCCAUGCCGCGUGUGUGAAGAAGGUCUCCGGAUUGUAAAGCACUUUAAGUUGGGAGGAAGGGUUGUAGAUUAAUACUCUGCAAUUUUGACGUUACCGACAGAAUAAGCACCGGCUAACUCUGUGCCAGCAGCCGCGGUAAUACAGAGGGUGCAAGCGUUAAUCGGAAUUACUGGGCGUAAAGCGCGCGUAGGUGGUUUGUUAAGUUGGAUGUGAAAUCCCCGGGCUCAACCUGGGAACUGCAUUCAAAACUGACUGACUAGAGUAUGGUAGAGGGUGGUGGAAUUUCCUGUGUAGCGGUGAAAUGCGUAGAUAUAGGAAGGAACACCAGUGGCGAAAGCGACCACCUGGACUAAUACUGACACUG